GAACCGAACCAGCCCAGACAGCGGAGCAC
Molecule: non-coding RNA, 29 nt
Filed under: Cricetulus griseus (Chinese hamster)
Lineage: Eukaryota; Metazoa; Chordata; Mammalia; Rodentia; Cricetidae
Source: RNAcentral